ACUAAAUUAGAUGUGACACCCCAGCCCAGAAAAAUGGGGAUAAGCCCAUGCUUAAAAAAAUGUAAUUUUGAAGCUGGGCAUCAGGAGUAAGAAGGGUGAAAACGUCGUCAUUUUGGAAAACUCCAAAACGACAUCAUUUUGAUGAAGGAAAUAGGAAAAAAAGAGGGCAACUAGAGCUGUGUAUGCUUCUGGUAGCCAAAGAAGAAGAAGGAAGAAGAAGGAAGAAGAGGCAUGUAGGGCUCUUUGUCUUUCUACCUAUAAAAAAAAGAAGAAAUUGAGAAGAAGGAAGAAAAAUAGAGUCAAAUUAGUAUAGAGAGUCACGAAGAGAGAGAAAGAAACUCGGGGAGAGAGAGAGAGAGAUAGCAGGAGGGAACAAACUAUAUCGACAGCAAGCCAGGUUUAUUACGUACAGUGUGCUGUAUGAUAGAGAGGCCCAUAACUAGAAAGCUAGAGAGAGAGAAUGCAUAACAAUGCGUGUAGAAAAGAAAGAGAACAACGACAUUGGCCAGGCAUGGUUCCAUGCAUCCACACCUUUCUCUAGUGUGAUUGUGCCAUAUUCGAGCCGGAUCUGUGUGCGCGGCUCGUUCUGUGAUGAUUUAUAGCCAAAGCAUGGCGGUGCGUGGGUGGUUCUGGUGGCACGUGCUUGUUCCAACAGCCGAGCAUGAGGUGGCAUGCGACGCUCCGACGACAGCGCAUGGUGAAUGAGGGACACAUGUAUGGUGGUGUGUUGCGAUUCCGUUGACCAAAAUCAUGCUACGAUAAAACUCGAUCCCACUUUUAUAUUCUAAU
RNAcentral lists this long non-coding RNA (789 nucleotides) under Carica papaya (papaya). Its description in RNAcentral is "long non-coding RNA (CPAP_LNC002458)". Lineage: Eukaryota; Viridiplantae; Streptophyta; Magnoliopsida; Brassicales; Caricaceae. The record is from RNAcentral.